Molecule: ribosomal RNA, 480 nt
Filed under: uncultured bacterium
Lineage: Bacteria
Description: bacterial SSU rRNA
Rfam family: Bacterial small subunit ribosomal RNA
Source: RNAcentral
UAGAGUUUGAUCCAUGGCUCAGAUUGAACGCUGGCGGCAGGCUUAACACAUGCAAGUCGAGCGGUAGCACAGGGGAGCUUGCCCCCUGGGUGACGAGCGGCGGACGGGUGAGUAAUGUCUGGGAAACUGCCUGAUGGAGGGGGAUAACUACUGGAAACGGUAGCUAAUACCGCAUAACGUCGCAAGACCAAAGAGGGGGACCUUCGGGCCUCUUGCCAUCAGAUGUGCCCAGAUGGGAUUAGCUAGUAGGUGGGGUAAUGGCUCACCUAGGCGACGAUCCCUAGCUGGUCUGAGAGGAUGACCAGCCACACUGGAACUGAGACACGGUCCAGACUCCUACGGGAGGCAGCAGUGGGGAAUAUUGCACAAUGGGCGCAAGCCUGAUGCAGCCAUGCCGCGUGUGUGAAGAAGGCCUUCGGGUUGUAAAGCACUUUCAGCGAGGAGGAAGGUGAUGAGCUUAAUACGCUCAUCAAUGACGAC